UCAAGAGUUUCCCGGCCUGCCCCACCAUGCCCUUUUCCUUCCCACUUAGCCUUAGCUAAUGCUACAACUCAGGUUUUCAUUCUUCUCAUUAUUCAGAAUGCAUGAUGGAAUGUAACUAGUCUGGACCAAUAGGUCUCGUAAGGAAGAAUUCCUGGAUUAAAGAGCAUGAAGAGGCAGUUACGUGAUUCUCCUCCCUGAAGACAGACAGUGCCUGAUGUAUGGAGUCACCUGCUUCAACAAUUAUCCAAUGACUUGCUUGAGUCAUGUUUUCCAGCAUCAGCAAACAAAGGCAAGGCGGAAGGCCAGGAGAAGCUCAACCAGGACUAGCCCUUGGCAGCUUUUGCAUCUCUCCUCGUAUGACAGCCGUGAACAGCAACAGCAGUAGACAGUCAAGAGCAGC
Molecule: long non-coding RNA, 400 nt
Organism: Mastomys coucha (southern multimammate mouse)
Lineage: Eukaryota; Metazoa; Chordata; Mammalia; Rodentia; Muridae
Exons: 3
Source: RefSeq, a predicted model, not a curated record